UGGGGAAUAUUGCACAAUGGGCGCAAGCCUGAUGCAGCGACGCCGCGUGGGGGAUGACGGCCUUCGGGUUGUAAACCCCUUUCGGCAGGGAAGAAGCGAAAGUGACGGUACCUGCGGAAGAAGCGCCGGCUAACUACGUGCCAGCAGCCGCGGUAAUACGUAGGGCGCAAGCGUUGUCCGGAAUUAUUGGGCGUAAAGAGCUCGUAGGCGGUUUGCCGCGUCUGCCGUGAAAGCCCGGGGCUCAACCCCGGGUCUGCGGUGGGUACGGGCAGACUGGAGUGCAGUAGGGGAGACCGGAAUUCCUGGUGUAGCGGUGAAAUGCGCAGAUAUCAGGAGGAACACCGAUGGCGAAGGCAGGUCUCUGGGCUGUAACUGACGCUGAGGAGCGAAAGCAUGGGGAGCGAACAGG
This 409-nucleotide ribosomal RNA is filed under the name Bacillota bacterium. RNAcentral's name for it is "Firmicutes bacterium partial 16S ribosomal RNA". It matches the Rfam family "Bacterial small subunit ribosomal RNA", at positions 355 to 776 of the family's 1533-position model. The record is from RNAcentral. Lineage: Bacteria; Bacillati; Bacillota.